AUUGAACGCUGGCGGCAGGCCUAACACAUGCAAGUCGGGCGAUGAAGGGAGCUUGCUCCUGGAUUCAGCGGCGGACGGGUGGGUAAUGCCUAGGAAUCUGCCUGGUAGUGGGGGAUAACGUCCGGAAACGGGCGCUAAUACCGCAUACGUCCUGAGGGAGAAAGUGGGGGAUCUUCGGACCCCACGCCAUCCGAUGAGCCUAGGUCGGAUUAGCUAGUUGGUGGGGUAAAGGCCUACCAAGGCGACGAUCCGUAACUGGUCUGAGAGGAUGAUCAGUCACACUGGAACUGAGACACGGUCCAGACUCCUACGGGAGGCAGCAGUGGGGAAUAUUGGACAAUGGGCGAAAGCCUGAUCCAGCCAUGCCGCGUGUGUGAAGAAGGUCUUCGGAUUGUAAAGCACUUUAAGUUGGGAGGAAGGGCAGUAAGUUAAUACCUUGCUGUUUUGACGUUACCAACAGAAUAAGCACCGGCUAACUUCGUG
This 483-nucleotide ribosomal RNA is filed under the name uncultured bacterium. RNAcentral's name for it is "partial 16S ribosomal RNA". It matches the Rfam family "Bacterial small subunit ribosomal RNA", at positions 30 to 507 of the family's 1533-position model. The record is from RNAcentral.